UUUCCGUAGGUGAACCUGCGGAAGGAUCAUUAAAAAAUUGGACUCCAUUGGUGAGUUCAUUAAUAAUCCUACCCUUUGUGAAUUUGUUUGUUUGAAUAAUUUUUUUUCCAAAAAAAAAUUAUUGAAUGUCUUUCCCUGUUUUGGUGGAGCUUGUAAAGUGAAACCAGGCAGGGGAAUGGCAAACAAUAAUUAUUUUUUGAAAAAAGACCUUUUUUAAAAUUAAACUUUUUGUAUUCAUUUGUCUAAAAUUAUUUUUAUAAUAUAAAAACAACUUUUGACAAUGGAUCUCUUGGUUCUCGCAACGAUGAAGAACGCAGCAAAAUGCGAUAAGUAGUGCGAAUUGCAGAAUACGUGAAUCAUCGAAUCUUCGAACGCAUAUUGCACUUUUUUAGUUUACUAAAAAAGUAUGUCUGUUUGAGUAUCAGUAAAAUAUUCUCAUAAAAAAUUUAUUUUUUAUGGUUAUGAGUGUUUUACAACGAUAACAAGUUGUUUCACUUUAAAUUCUUUGUUAUCAAAAAAAUCAUUAAAAGCUAAUUUUAAAGAUUUUUUAAAAUUGGAUAAAAUUUUCCCGUAAAAAGGAAUAACCUAAACAAUUUUAAAAAAUUAAAAUUGGUUUGAUUUUUCUUGAUAACAAAGGAAAAAAAACGAAAUUAACUUGAUCUCAAAUCAGAUAAGAGUACCCGCUGAACUUAAGCAUAUCAAUAAGCGGAGGAAAAGAAACUAACUAGGAUUCCCUCAGUAACGGCGAGUGAAGCGGGAAGAGCUCAAAUUUGAAAUCUUCAAGGUUUUACCUUGACGAAUUGUAGUUUAAAGAAGUGUUUUCCGUUGGAGUUUUGGUAAAAGUUCUUUGGAAAAGGACAUCAUAGAGGGUGAGAAUCCCGUAUUUGACCAUUAUCUCCAGCUUUGUGAUACACUUUCAAAGAGUCGGAUUGUUUGGGAAUGCAGUCCAAAAUGGGUGGUAAAUUUCAUCUAAAGCUAAAUACUGGCGAGAGACCGAUAGCGAACAAGUACCGUGAGGGAAAGAUGAAAAGAACUUUGAAAAGAGAGUUAAACAGUACGUGAAAUUGUCAAAAGGGAAGCGUUUGACACCAGUGUUGUUUUCUCGAAAAUCAAUUAAAAAAGGCCGGAUUUUGUGUUGUAUUGACUUUAUCAGCUUUCUGCACUUUUUUCUUGUCUUUUUUAAUGCACUUUUCGUUCAACAAGUCAACAUCAAUUUCUUUUGUUGUAAAAGGGUCAUUGGAAGGUGGCUUUCUUUUCGGAGAAAGUGUUUAUAGCCUUUGGCCUCUGCAAUCGGAGAGAUUGAGGUCUGCAGCGUAGAUCCUUCGGGGUUAGAUACAUUUGUGCUAAGUUAUAGCCUUUCAUAGACAACUUGUUGACUAUGAUCAGUCAUGUAGCUUACUCGCUUAUGCUAUUU
Molecule: unclassified non-coding RNA, 1414 nt
Filed under: uncultured Neocallimastigales
Lineage: Eukaryota; Fungi; Neocallimastigomycota; Neocallimastigomycetes; Neocallimastigales
Description: partial contains small subunit ribosomal RNA, internal transcribed spacer 1, 5.8S ribosomal RNA, internal transcribed spacer 2, and large subunit ribosomal RNA
Rfam family: Eukaryotic large subunit ribosomal RNA (bases 657-1414)
Source: RNAcentral